This 849-nucleotide ribosomal RNA is filed under the name uncultured Bacillota bacterium. Its description in RNAcentral is "bacterial SSU rRNA". It matches the Rfam family "Bacterial small subunit ribosomal RNA", at positions 550 to 1398 of the family's 1533-position model. Lineage: Bacteria; Bacillati; Bacillota. The record is from RNAcentral.
UUUAUUGGGCGUAAAGCGGGCGCAGGCGGUUGCUUAGGUCUGAUGUGAAAGCCUUCGGCUUAACCGAAGAAGUGCAUCGGAAACCGGGCGACUUGAGUGCAGAAGAGGACAGUGGAACUCCAUGUGUAGCGGUGGAAUGCGUAGAUAUAUGGAAGAACACCAGUGGCGAAGGCGGCUGUCUGGUCUGCAACUGACGCUGGAGGCUCGAAAGCAUGGGUAGCGAACAGGAUUAGAUACCCUGGUAGUCCAUGCCGUAAACGAUGAGCGCUAGGUGUUGGAGGGUUUCCGCCCUUCAGUGCCGGAGCUAACGCAUUAAGCACUCCGCCUGGGGAGUACGACCGCAAGGUUGAAACUCAAAGGAAUUGACGGGGGCCCGCACAAGCGGUGGAGCAUGUGGUUUAAUUCGAAGCUACGCGAAGAACCUUACCAGGUCUUGACAUCUUGCGCUAACCUUAGAGAUAAGGCGUUCCCUUCGGGGACGCAAUGACAGGUGGUGCAUGGUCGUCGUCAGCUCGUGUCGUGAGAUGUUGGGUUAAGUCCCGCAACGAGCGCAACCCUUGUUACUAGUUGCCAGCAUUAAGUUGGGCACUCUAGUGAGACUGCCGGUGACAAACCGGAGGAAGGUGGGGACGACGUCAGAUCAUCAUGCCCCUUAUGACCUGGGCUACACACGUGCUACAAUGGACGGUACAACGAGUCGCAAGCUCGCGAGAGUAAGCUAAUCUCUUAAAGCCGUUCUCAGUUCGGACUGUGGGCUGCAACUCGCCUACACGAAGUCGGAAUCGCUAGUAAUCGCGGAUCAGCAUGCCGCGGUGAAUACGUUCCCGGGCCUUGCACACACCGCCCGUC